This 433-nucleotide ribosomal RNA is filed under the name uncultured bacterium. RNAcentral describes it as "partial 16S ribosomal RNA". It matches the Rfam family "Bacterial small subunit ribosomal RNA", at positions 29 to 507 of the family's 1533-position model. The record is from RNAcentral.
AACGAACGCUGGCGGCAUGCCUAACACAUGCAAGUCGAACGAAGGCUUCGGCCUUAGUGGCGCACGGGUGCGUAACGCGUGGGAAUCUGCCCUUUGGUUCGGAAUAACAGCUGGAAACGGCUGCUAAUACCGGAUGAUGACGAAAGUCCAAAGAUUUAUCGCCAGAGGAUGAGCCCGCGUUGGAUUAGGUAGUUGGUGGGGUAAAGGCCUACCAAGCCGACGAUCCAUAGCUGGUCUGAGAGGAUGAUCAGCCACACCGGGACUGAGACACGGCCCAGACUCCUACGGGAGGCAGCAGUGGGGAAUAUUGGACAAUGGGCGCAAGCCUGAUCCAGCAAUGCCGCGUGAGUGAUGAAGGCCCUAGGGUUGUAAAGCUCUUUUACCCGGGAAGAUAAUGACUGUACCGGGAGAAUAAGCCCCGGCUAACUCCGUG